This is a long non-coding RNA of Uranotaenia lowii, 1262 nucleotides long. RefSeq lists it as uncharacterized. The record is from RefSeq and is a predicted model, not a curated record. Lineage: Eukaryota; Metazoa; Arthropoda; Insecta; Diptera; Culicidae. The transcript is spliced from 4 exons.
CAGAGAUUAAAUUCUCUAAAUCCGGUGUUUGCGCUCGCGAUUGAUUCUAAUCGGGACACGAAAUUGACCUUUACUGAUCGGAGGCAUCCCAGAAGGUAAGGAAUGCGUUGGUGGGGCAUUAAAAUACCUAACAUCCGACGAUUCUGUGGUGAGCCGGUACUAAAAAAUCCUCUUGUAAGGGAUCUCUUCGAUGCCGAUCAAUCGGAUGAGCAUCGGUGGCAUAAUUGCAAUUUUCCCAGGGAACCCAACCCCAGCAGCAGCAGGAGCUGUUGGGACAUGGUGGUUUCCAGUCAGCCAUCGACGACGACAGCUGGAAUGGUAUCCGUUCAGCGAGUGACAUCACGAGCCUAUAGAAGGAAUCGCAGGUUGAUUUUACACAUGGAGCCAGGCAAUAUACAAAGAAGAUUUCGAUUCAGCAAAGUGAUCACUUAAAACGGGUUGGCGCUAUGCUCACUCCCACAUCAACUGGAAAUCAUUCGUUCGUAGGAAUCAAUGUUUUCCACGUUCUGGAGCAGGUUCUUGCGGCCUUUGCGUUGCAUUCAGAAAGGGAGGCAACAAUAGUUACAAACAAGCCUGACAGAAUUUCAUGGUACAUCGAAUUCGAGUGUUUGCGUCCGAGGUUCCGAGUGCAUUAAAUGCAAAUUGAAGUCAUAAAACAAACGCAGCUGCAGCUAAAUAUAUCAAUGGAAGAUUUGAAGCUGGUAAUUGAUAUCGAAUCGAAGAUUCGAGAAGUCGCACAGAAACAGGAUUACUAAGCCGAGGUGGGCCAUCAAAAUACCAAACAUCCGUCGAUUAUGUGGGGCGCAUACGAUAUCGCCCAAGGAUUGCGCUGAUGCUGAACGACCUCGUACGGAUCUGUUCGAUGCUGAUCACCGCAGAUUUCAUCUGUAAAUCCUUCCCAUCCACAGCAGCACCAGAAGCUGUUGGAACAUUCCGUGAUACUGGUGCUUUAUCAAUCGACGACGAUGGCUCGAGCGUAACAGGUCCUACAUCUGAAACGGGACACAAGGUUGCUGACGGGGAUCAUCCAUUCGAGUACCAUGAAUGCUUUCUCGACCAAGUGCAAUGAAGUUUCGAGCUGUGAAACGCAAACAAGAAAGGAGAAUUGAGGGACCAUGCACUGAACAACGGCAGCAAGCAUUCGUCGAAAGUGUGUAGAAUUUUUCGUAAUAAUGGUAAGAUUUGUACAGUUCUCAUUAAAAUCCCUUAUUUAAAGACAAAGCCACUGUACUUACAAAAAGUUGGUAAGUCAGUUAAAAUUG